Long non-coding RNA from Toxotes jaculatrix (banded archerfish), 268 nucleotides. RefSeq lists it as uncharacterized. Lineage: Eukaryota; Metazoa; Chordata; Actinopteri; Toxotidae. The transcript has 3 exons. The record is from RefSeq and is a predicted model, not a curated record.
CAGAUGACAAUCUCAUAAAGCAUGCAGCCUCUCUUCCUCUUGAAAUUAUCCAAGUUCAAGGAGCUGCCGUUUCAGUGAGGUGAUCCGAGCCACCCCGAGAGCCUGGUGGAGUGGAGGAAGAGAGACAGAGCAGGACUGGACAAUAGACAGGACAGUAUAAAGUGGACAUGGCCACACAUAGCUCCAGAUGCUUGCUGUGACCGCCCCACCAUACCAGACACACCCCCCUCCAGCUUCAGAUUCCCCUCACCACCAAAAAUUGAACGGU